UACGAAGGGGGCGAGCGUUGUUCGGAUUUACUGGGCGUAAAGGGCGCGCCGGCUGCGCAUUUUGUCAGGCGUGAAAGCCCCGGGCUUAACCUGGGAACUGCGUUUGAUACGGAUGGGCUAGAGUUCGGGAGAGGAGAGUGGAAUUCCCAGUGUAGAGGUGAAAUUCGUAGAUAUUGGGAAGAACACCGGUGGCGAAGGCGGCUCUCUGGACCGAGACUGACGCUGAGGCGCGAAAGCGUGGGGAGCAAACAGG
Molecule: ribosomal RNA, 253 nt
Filed under: uncultured bacterium
Lineage: Bacteria
Description: partial 16S ribosomal RNA
Rfam family: Bacterial small subunit ribosomal RNA
Source: RNAcentral